GUCCUGCAGAAAGAUGAACAGUCACCCCAGUUUGAGGUGAAAUUGCAGAGCUCUCGCUCAAAAUGUGUUGACCAACAUUUCUCCAAAAUUUACGAGGGAAGUACGUUGCUUUAAGAUUUGUGGCAUUAAGUCGUUUGAGUCACAGUUCAAGUGCAGAUUACUAAACUAACAACGAAUAUAAAAGAUUUCUUUUACUAUUGCAAGAAAAAAUAUUUCACAUACAAAACAAGCGGGUUUGUCGGACAAAGUGCACAGAAACCUUUUCACGUGAUCAGUAGUCCAUCUUUGUUGUCACCUACAUUUUACAUUGAUGACAGAUCUCCAUUUUGUGCCCAAUCUAAAACUAAUGAAUAAAAUGUGGAAUAUCCCAUAGUACCACUAGUGGGCAUAAUUGAGUCUUCAGACUAGGAAAGUUUCGGUUUCCAGCCAUAAAAUGUUUCAAAUUUGUGGUGUUGUGAUAUGGACCUUUACUACCUCCUACUGGCUGUAAGAAGUCUGUUUCGUGAGCUGUUGGAUAAUAAUAAUGCUCAUGCUCCUGGUGAGUCAGAACAUUUACAGCUACGUUUCAUUACAGAGAGAAAUAUUAAUUGAUUUUAUUCAGCUUUCAGAUAUUUCUGUAUAUGUGUACACAUAUUUCUGUCCCUUCACAUCCCAACAUGAGGUGCUUGUCCACUGCAAGGACUCGUGUUUGGGUCCUAGAUCUAAAACCACAAAUGAUUCAUAAUUAGGGCCCACUGGUGACCAAAUCCUACAUCAGAACAGCUGCAUUUAAUUAGUUCAUCAUUACAGUUGUGCAUAUUAACAUUCAAAAUUAAGGAUUUUUCAGCAAUUAGACACAAAACUGAUUUAUGAUGUCACAAAGCAACAGAUUAGAAGUCCUCCACAGUACUUCAGUGUUUUCAGCAGUUUAGAUGCUCGGUGCUUGCAGGUCACUGUUGCAAACUAAUGGUGGCACCACAGCAGCUCUGACUGAUCUUUAGGCCCCUCCCCUUUAGACCCAGGUGCAGAAAAUAGAUCAGGAUGACAUCAGCUUAAAAAUGCCACUCCAGUGUUGGACCAGAAGCUUCACAAAUCUUCAUCGUUAAGUGUGGCUCAAAUACACGUUAAAAAUAAAACUCAAAUCUAGUGCAGUAAAUUGGUCCUGUGGAAUGCUUAUUCAAGUUAAAAUGUUUUACAUUUCAGAUUUUUAUUGUGUGUGUGUGUG
Long non-coding RNA from Thalassophryne amazonica, 1204 nucleotides. RefSeq lists it as uncharacterized. The record is from RefSeq and is a predicted model, not a curated record. NCBI's taxonomy places the organism in Eukaryota, Metazoa, Chordata, Actinopteri, Batrachoidiformes, Batrachoididae. The transcript is spliced from 3 exons.